RNAcentral lists this ribosomal RNA (1062 nucleotides) under uncultured bacterium. Its description in RNAcentral is "bacterial SSU rRNA". It matches the Rfam family "Bacterial small subunit ribosomal RNA", at positions 11 to 1022 of the family's 1533-position model. The record is from RNAcentral.
GUUUGAUCCUGGCCUCAUAUUGAACGCUGGCGGCAUGCCUUACACAUGCAAGUCGAACGGCAGCGCGGACUUCGGUCUGGCGGCGAGUGGCGAACGGGUGAGUAAUACAUCGGAACGUACCCUGUUGUGGGGGAUAACUAGUCGAAAGAUUAGCUAAUACCGCAUACGACCUGAGGGUGAAAGUGGGGGACCGCAAGGCCUCACGCAGCAGGAGCGGCCGAUGUCUGAUUAGCUAGUUGGUGGGGUAAAGGCCCACCAAGGCGACGAUCAGUAGCUGGUCUGAGAGGACGAUCAGCCACACUGGGACUGAGACACGGCCCAGACUCCUACGGGAGGCAGCAGUGGGGAAUUUUGGACAAUGGAGGCAACCCUGAUCCAGCAAUGCCGCGUGUGUGAAGAAGGCCUUCGGGUUGUAAAGCACUUUUGUCCGGAAAGAAAUCGCGCUGGUUAAUACCUGGCGUGGAUGACGGUACCGGAAGAAUAAGCACCGGCUAACUACGUGCCAGCAGCCGCGGUAAUACGUAGGGUGCGAGCGUUAAUCGGAAUUACUGGGCGUAAAGCGUGCGCAGGCGGUUUUGUAAGACAGGCGUGAAAUCCGCGGGCUUACCCUGGGAAUUGCGCUUGUGACUGCAAGGCUAGAGUGCGUCAGAGGGGGGUAGAAUUCCACGUGUAGCAGUGAAAUGCGUAGAGAUGUGGAGGACUACCGAUGGCGAUGCAGCCCCCUGGGACGUGACUGACGCUCAUGCACGAAAGCGUGGGGAGCAAACAGGAUUAGAUACCCUGCUAGUCCACGCGCUAAACGAUGUCAACUAGGUGCUGCGGAUUCAUUUUCUCAGUACCGCAGCUACGCGAUGAGAUGACCCCUGGGGAGUACGUCGCUAGAAUAAAACUCAAGGAAUUGACGGGGAUCCGCCCAAGCGAUGAUGAUGUGGAUAUCAUGCACGCGUAGCUUACUACUGACAUGCAUACUACCAAUAGCUACGUCGAAGAUGAACGGCUCUUGCUGCGUACCCUGCCUGACGUUGAUUUCUAUACGGAACUGUCCAUGGCCGGGCCCCUCAA